AAACUCUCAUUCUCUCUCUCUCUCUCUCUCUCUCUCUCUCUCUAGAACUUGAACCAACCCUCUCUCUCUCUAGGAUUUUGCGCCGUCCAUUGCCGGAAUUCACGAUCCAUCGUUACCACGUGGAUCAAAAGGAGAAUCUCUACGUUUAUUGUGGAACGGAUCUUCGUUUGUAGAAUUUCGGGAUUUUCCCUAAAAUCGAGGUUUUGGGGACCCCGAGUCGUUGUUUUAAAUCAAUUCGUUCGUGUUUCGGUUUCAAGUUUAAGGUCCUUCAGGGCAUCGAUCCUAGUCUUCUAGUGAGACUUUGGAGCUUAGAAUCUGGUUGAUAGGAGUAAGUUUUUGUACUAGUAUUGGGUCGUUAGCCUGGUUAGUCUCUUUUGGGGAUGUAAUACAGUUUAUGUUUUAAGUAUGAAUCCUAUGCAUUAAAGAUACAGUUAGAACUC
This is a long non-coding RNA of Malania oleifera, 440 nucleotides long. RefSeq lists it as uncharacterized. The record is from RefSeq and is a predicted model, not a curated record. The transcript has 3 exons. NCBI's taxonomy places the organism in Eukaryota, Viridiplantae, Streptophyta, Magnoliopsida, Santalales, Ximeniaceae.